Gavialis gangeticus (Gharial) is the source of this 121-nucleotide long non-coding RNA. RefSeq lists it as uncharacterized. The transcript has 3 exons. The record is from RefSeq and is a predicted model, not a curated record. NCBI's taxonomy places the organism in Eukaryota, Metazoa, Chordata, Crocodylia, Gavialidae.
GCCAUGUGUGCACGACACUUUAAAGUGGGCUAAAUGGUUUUGCACUGCUUUAAUGGUGUCUGUGUUUGCACAUGUCAGCAGCGUUUUGUGCAUUAAUUCCAGCUGCUUCUACACAUUCAGC